UUCUUAGUCGUUUAACCUCUCUCUGUUUCCCGCUUGCAGACAUGUAGGAUUUUGUGCGCCGAUCUGGUGUAUUGUUGUUCUUAGUUGUACAGGGGAACGCGAAUACAUGGAUUUGUUCGUAGUCGAUGUGAGGCCCCCGUGAUUUUGUUUGUUUGGCUGUUCGUAUGAUUCUACCUAGUUCAUUUGAUUAAGUUGUCGUCUGUCGGGAACCUCCGUUCAGUUGUUCUGACCUCUCAUGGUGGAGUAAUAUCAAGAUAUAUUAAGCACACACACAGAGCACCUCUGCAAAUCAUCUCGUAGCUGUUUUUAGGUAGCCCAUUAUUUGCAUGUUUUUAACUGAAUUUCAUGUAGGUUUUGCAUUGUCUGAAUCGAUUCAGUUUUCCUUUUUGUUACUCCUGUUAGUGAUAGGGAUGUCAGUGUGUCAGGUGGAUGUAAUAGAUAGAAGGAGAGCAGAUGAUUUGGGAAACGAGAUGGAUUAAUUCCCAUUGGUUUUGCCAUCUCAGCUUAAUUAGCUGUUAUUUUCCUCGUAUACGUGAGCGAGCAUGUGCAUGUGCGGGUCAAUUGACUGAAGUAUCAAUUUGCUCAUCUCACGUACCAGCACAUAAUUCCCUCUCACUUUGUUUCUUCAUGCCUCUUCUUGUUUCUGCACACCUAGAUGCCUACUGAACACUUGUCCAAAAAAUGGAGCAAUGGAGUGCUCUUUGAACACUCCAAAGACUCCAAACCUCCAAACAGAGUUUUCUCUGCUUGUCAAUGUCAGUCUUUUAUUAGCUCAGCUUAUUUUCUUAGUCUUCCUUUUUAGCUCAGUCUUUUCUUCAGAGUUUAGUUGGCUGACAUCACUCACGGCAAUUAAUCCACAAAAGUUGAGUUUACUUGGCUGAGUCUUUCAUUCAUUCAUUUUGUUAUUUAGUCUCUCAGUAAUUUCAUUACUUCAUUUUCAGAUAUUGUGAUUCUCUCAGUCUUCAGUUUUUUCUUCAUUCUUGUCUUUUGUCUUCAUUCUUUACUCAUUCUCUUAUUUUAUUCAGCCCUAUAUACUUUACUUUUUAUUCAGUUCUCAGUUAUUCUUUCUUCAUUUUGUUCAUUUUUAUUCUUUAUAAUAUCUUAAUCACUCUUUCUUCAUCAUUCCUUUUUGAUCGGUCUUUCUCAGUGUCUUUCUUCUAAAUGGUCAUAAUCACUCUCUCAGUCUCCACUCUCUUUUUUCUUCAGUCUUCACUCUCUUUCAUCAGUCCUCACUCCUCACUCUUCAUUCUUUUUCUAGUUCAGUCUUUUCUUCAGUUUGUCUCUGUCUCAGAUUUCGUCAGUGUCUCUACUUGACUUAUUCUCUCACUGUUUUAAUAACGUGCAAACCUAGAGCACAUAUAUGAACUGGUCUAACUUGUGUGUUAUUCUCAGUCUCAGCCUAGGUCAUUCUCUUCUCUUUAUUAUCUCUCAGUUUUUCCUCUUAAGUUUGAUCAUUUUAUCAUUCAUUUUUUCUCAGUCUCAGCUUCUUAGUUUUAGUCUUCAUUUUCUUGUUAAUCUCAUUCAUUGUGUGUGAUUUGCUUGUUACCUCAGUCUUCAGUUUCAAGUUACACCACUUCAUAUAUGUGCUCUAGGUUUGCACGUUCUUAGAAGUUGUAUUUGCUUGUUGGGUUUCUAGGAGCAAGAGUUUGAUACUUUUACUGAGUAAGAGGUAGGUGUCUCAUGGGGCGUCUCUCACGGCAUGGCAAGCCACGUGGACAAAGAAUUGGAUUUGUUGUAUCCUUUUGCCAAUUCAGUUUCGAGAUCAAGACAUUGUGUUGAAGUGGUACAUGAUUUCAUCAAGAAAGAGAGAGGUAAUAAAAAGUAGCAGGAUGAGACGGGGUCACAUGCCUAUGCUGAGACGGAAGGAGGAACAAUAGGCUAAUACUUUUACGGACCAUGUAUCUGCUACACCAUCGGCUCCGCCUGUGACACCUUGUGUGCAAUCCUUUAUGCACGACAUUGACGGUCUCGAAUACAAGCACACAUGGUGGUUUCUCACUGCUGCACCGCCACUCAGUUGAAUUUUUUUCCACCAUAGAAACCGUAUAAGCUGGACAAGCAUUUCCUAACUCGGUAUAGCUUUUUGGUUAAUAAGCUGUGAUAAGUCAAGCGAGAGAUCUCAGGAUUGCUUCUCCCCUGGUAUUUUGAUGCAAAACAACUUUUGGGGGAGUUGUACAUGAUUUUGGAUCUAGAAUGAAGACAAGAGGUUCUGGAAAGCAGUAGGGGGAGGGGGAGAAGUCGUGACACACCUGUGCUGAGAGUGUAUGAGGUACAAAGGGUUGCCCUAACCUGGAGGCAGCUGGUAUACCAGGCCACCGAAAAUUUACUGAGAUGGCGACGUGAAAGCCUCAACAAAAGCUGAAUUGUUGGGCUUCUCUGUUUAUAGUUCUUAUGUACGAGAGCCAAGUUCACUAUAGGCCGAUGUAUAAAUAAUGAGUUCUUGCAAAUAAAACCAGGAAAACACAGACUGGGUGGACUAAUCUGAAUGAAUUUAUUUGUUUU
This is a non-coding RNA of Lolium perenne, 2502 nucleotides long. The record is from RefSeq and is a predicted model, not a curated record. Lineage: Eukaryota; Viridiplantae; Streptophyta; Magnoliopsida; Poales; Poaceae.